GCAUUCAAGCGCGUGGCGCGUCGCCAGCCUUCCAAGCUGUGCAGGGUAGGGUUCGACUCCCUCUGGAUGCUCCA
This 74-nucleotide transfer RNA is filed under the name Comamonas sp. NyZ500. RNAcentral describes it as "tRNA-Gly". Lineage: Bacteria; Pseudomonadati; Pseudomonadota; Betaproteobacteria; Burkholderiales; Comamonadaceae. The record is from RNAcentral.